UUGGAGGGCAAGUCUGGUGCCAGCAGCCGCGGUAAUUCCAGCUCCAAUAGCGUAUAUUAAAGUUGUUGCAGUUAAAAAGCUCGUAGUUGAAUUUCGGAAUCUGUCCGUCGGUCGGGCUUCACUGUCCGUACUGGUGUGAUGGGUUUCUACCUUCUGAAUAACCGGCAUGUCAUUAAUUUGGUGCGCCGGGGAAGCAGAACUAUUACCUUGAAAAAAUUAGAGUGCUUAAAGCAGGCUAUCGCCUGAAUAUAUUAGCAUGGAAUAAUAAAAUAGGACGGCAUGGUUCUAUUUUGUUGGUUUCUAGGAUCACCGUAAUGAUUAAUAGGGAUAGUUGGGGGCAUUAGUAUUCAAUUGUCAGAGGUGAAAUUCUUGGAUUUAUUGAAGACUAACUUCUGCGAAAGCAUUUGCCAAGGAUGUUUUCAUUAAUCAAGAACGAAAGUUAGGGGAUCGAAGACGAUCAGAUACCGUCGUAGUCUUAACCAUAAACUAUGCCGACUAGGGAUCGGACGAUGUUAAUUUUUUAAUGACUCGUUCGGCGCCUUACGGGAAAC
Molecule: ribosomal RNA, 551 nt
Filed under: uncultured Acaulospora
Lineage: Eukaryota; Fungi; Glomeromycota; Glomeromycetes; Diversisporales; Acaulosporaceae
Description: SSU rRNA
Rfam family: Eukaryotic small subunit ribosomal RNA
Source: RNAcentral